AAUGGAAACUUCUUGUUCCAAACAAGAAAGAAAGACAAGUGAUGACAGAAAAAAGAAGAAUAGGAAUGAUGCUGUCAAAGCCAAAGUCUCAAAAUCUAGGUACGAUAAAAUUAAAAAAAUAAUGGGAACUUGUUUUUGCCAACAAGAAACAAAGACAAGUGAUGGAAAAAAAAGGAAGAAUAGGAAUAAUGGAGUAUUAAUCUUUUCAGAUGAUUGGGGAGAUUGUGAUUGCGAUGGUUGUGACUGUGACUGUGGAGGUUGUGUAGAUGUGUGUAGCGGGAUUGAAUGGAGUGGUUGCUUCAGGUGAUUGAAUGGAGUGAUGGCUCCUUUGUGAUUUCUAAGUCUUUCUUAUUUCAACUUAUUAUGUGAUGUUUCAUCAUUCUUGGGUGUGAUUUUUUAAGAUAUUCAUAUUGCCUUUGGAAAAAAUAGUAAUAUUUUUUAAUUCUUGUUUUUUCUUUCUUUUAUAAUUCUUUUCUUGUGGUUUAAGUUUUAAGUUUUUAAAUAUAUUCAUGUUUACCACUAAUCAAAGGCAUAUUAGUGAUACUGUUUCAUAAAUUCCUCCAUGGUUGGUGGUGAAAUUUAUAUCUAGUAAGGUGCUCUUUUAGUACACAGUUAUGAGCUGACACACUAACAUUGAUCCAAACAACAAACA
RNAcentral lists this long non-coding RNA (652 nucleotides) under Medicago truncatula (barrel medic). RNAcentral's name for it is "long non-coding RNA (MTRU_LNC000135)". The record is from RNAcentral. Lineage: Eukaryota; Viridiplantae; Streptophyta; Magnoliopsida; Fabales; Fabaceae.